UCUAAUAUGGCAGAAUAGUGCAAUGAAUUUAAGCUUCAUAUAUAAAGAUAUAAUCUUUUUUUAGAA
Molecule: transfer RNA, 66 nt
Filed under: Euoniticellus pallipes
Lineage: Eukaryota; Metazoa; Arthropoda; Insecta; Coleoptera; Scarabaeidae
Description: tRNA-Leu
Source: RNAcentral